CCUACGGGAGGCAGCAGUGGGGAAUAUUGGGCAAUGGGCGCAAGCCUGACCCAGCAACGCCGCGUGAAUGAAGAAGGCCUUCGGGUUGUAAACUUCUUUUGUCAGGGACGAAGACAGUGACGGUACCUGACGAAUAAGUCACGGCUAACUACGUGCCAGCAGCCGCGGUAAUACGUAGGUGGCAAGCGUUGUUCGGAUUGACUGGGUGUAAAGGGUGGGUAGGCGGUGGAGCAAGUCAGACGUGAAAUUCCAGGGCUUAACCCUGGAACUGCGUUUUAAACUGUUCGUCUUGAGUGAUGGAGAGGUUGGCGGAAGUCCGAGUGUAGCGGUGAAAUGCGUAGAUAUACGGAGGAACACCAGUGGCGAAGGCGGCCAGCUGGACAGUAACUGACGCUGAGGCGCGAAAGCGUGGGGAGCAAGCAGGAUUAGAUACCCGAGUAGUC
RNAcentral lists this ribosomal RNA (443 nucleotides) under uncultured bacterium. RNAcentral's name for it is "partial 16S ribosomal RNA". It matches the Rfam family "Bacterial small subunit ribosomal RNA", at positions 338 to 795 of the family's 1533-position model. The record is from RNAcentral.